CAAAGAACCAAAUCGUCCACAUAUUGCAACAAAGUAGAGUCUCUAGGAAGCUUUAUAUCAUCUAGAUCAGCCUUCAGGAUUUUCUGAGAAAUAAGGG
Molecule: non-coding RNA, 97 nt
Organism: Ceratotherium simum simum (southern white rhinoceros)
Lineage: Eukaryota; Metazoa; Chordata; Mammalia; Perissodactyla; Rhinocerotidae
Source: RefSeq, a predicted model, not a curated record